RNAcentral lists this ribosomal RNA (252 nucleotides) under uncultured bacterium. RNAcentral's name for it is "partial 16S ribosomal RNA". It matches the Rfam family "Bacterial small subunit ribosomal RNA", at positions 524 to 776 of the family's 1533-position model. The record is from RNAcentral.
UACGUAGGUGGCAAGCGUUGUCCGGAAUAUUGGGCGUAAAGCGCGCGCAGGCGGCCUCUUAAGUCUGAUGUGAAAGCCCCCGGCUCAACCGGGGAGGGCCAUUGGAAACUGGGAGGCUUGAGUAUAGGAGAGAAGAGUGGAAUUCCACGUGUAGCGGUGAAAUGCGUAGAGAUGUGGAGGAACACCAGUGGCGAAGGCGACUCUUUGGCCUAUAACUGACGCUGAGGCGCGAAAGCGUGGGGAGCAAACAGG